RNAcentral lists this transfer RNA (100 nucleotides) under Candidatus Woesearchaeota archaeon. Its description in RNAcentral is "tRNA-Ile". It matches the Rfam family "tRNA". From Rfam's summary of the family: Transfer RNA (tRNA) molecules are approximately 80 nucleotides in length. Their secondary structure includes four short double-helical elements and three loops (D, anti-codon, and T loops). The record is from RNAcentral. Lineage: Archaea; Nanobdellati; Candidatus Woesearchaeota.
GGGCCCGUAGCUUAGUCUGGUGGAGUGCUCGACUGAUAAUCGAGUGAAGAAAGAGAGGGACUUUCUCUCGAAGUCCGGAGUUCAAAUCUCCGCGGGCCCA